GGAGGAUGUGCUGAAAGAAGACAGACAGGGCUGUAAAAAAGAACGAGUUGAACUGGUCACAGUUGCAUUGACCCCAUUAGUCCCAAAGGCAUUCAGGUCUGCCUUAUUCUUCUGUGAGUCCUCCUACAUAUCUUCUCU
This is a long non-coding RNA of Molossus molossus (Pallas's mastiff bat), 138 nucleotides long. RefSeq lists it as uncharacterized. The transcript has 3 exons. NCBI's taxonomy places the organism in Eukaryota, Metazoa, Chordata, Mammalia, Chiroptera, Molossidae. The record is from RefSeq and is a predicted model, not a curated record.